UUCGGAGGUACUCGAGUGGCGAACGGGUGAGUAACACGUGGGCAAUCUGCCCUGCACUUCGGGAUAAGCCUGGGAAACUGGGUCUAAUACCGGAUAGGACCUCAAGACGCAUGUCUUCUGGUGGAAAGCUUUUGCGGUGUGGGAUGGGCCCGCGGCCUAUCAGCUUGUUGGUGGGGUGACGGCCUACCAAGGCGACGACGGGUAGCCGGCCUGAGAGGGUGUCCGGCCACACUGGGACUGAGAUACGGCCCAGACUCCUACGGGAGGCAGCAGUGGGGAAUAUUGCACAAUGGGCGCAAGCCUGAUGCAGCGACGCCGCGUGGGGGAUGACGGCCUUCGGGUUGUAAACCUCUUUCACCAUCGACGAAGGUCCGGGUUUUCUCGGAUUGACGGUAGGUGGAGAAGAAGCACCGGCCAACUACGUGCCAGCAGCCGCGGUAAUACGUAGGGUGCGAGCGUUGUCCGGAAUUACUGGGCGUAAAGAGCUCGUAGGUGGUUUGUCGCGUUGUUCGUGAAAUCUCACGGCUUAACUGUGAGCGUGCGGGCGAUACGGGCAGACUAGAGUACUGCAGGGGAGACUGGAAUUCCUGGUGUAGCGGUGGAAUGCGCAGAUAUCAGGAGGAACACCGGUGGCGAAGGCGGGUCUCUGGGCAGUAACUGACGCUGAGGAGCGAAAGCGUGGGGAGCGAACAGGAUUAGAUACCCUGGUAGUCCACGCCGUAAACGGUGGGUACUAGGUGUGGGUUUCCUUCCUUGGGAUCCGUGCCGUAGCUAACGCAUUAAGUACCCCGCCUGGGGAGUACGGCCGCAAGGCUAAAACUCAAAGGAAUUGACGGGGGCCCGCACAAGCGGCGGAGCAUGUGGAUUAAUUCGAUGCAACGCGAAGAACCUUACCUGGGUUUGACAUGCACAGGACGCGUCUAGAGAUAGGCGUUCCCUUGUGGCCUGUGUGCAGGUGGUGCAUGGCUGUCGUCAGCUCGUGUCGUGAGAUGUUGGGUUAAGUCCCGCAACGAGCGCAACCCUUGUCUCAUGUUGCCAGCGGGUAAUGCCGGGGACUCGUGAGAGACUGCCGGGGUCAACUCGGAGGAAGGUGGGGAUGACGUCAAGUCAUCAUGCCCCUUAUGUCCAGGGCUUCACACAUGCUACAAUGGCCGGUACAAAGGGCUGCGAUGCCGUAAGGUUAAGCGAAUCCUUUUAAAGCCGGUCUCAGUUCGGAUUGGGGUCUGCAACUCGACCCCAUGAAGUCGGAGUCGCUAGUAAUCGCAGAUCAGCAACGCUGCGGUGAAUACGUUCCCGGGCCUUGUACACACCGCCCGUCACGUCAUGAAAGUCGGUAACACCCGAAGCC
Molecule: ribosomal RNA, 1348 nt
Filed under: Mycobacterium sp. DWMJ-796B1
Lineage: Bacteria; Bacillati; Actinomycetota; Actinomycetes; Mycobacteriales; Mycobacteriaceae
Description: bacterial SSU rRNA
Rfam family: Bacterial small subunit ribosomal RNA
Source: RNAcentral